ACUCCUACGGGAGGCAGCAGUGGGGAAUAUUGCACAAUGGGCGCAAGCCUGAUGCAGCCAUGCCGCGUGUGUGAAGAAGGCCUUCGGGUUGUAAAGCACUUUCAGUCGUGAGGAAGGCGGGUACGGUUAAUAGCGUAUUCGUUUGACGUUAGCGACAGAAGAAGCACCGGCUAACUCCGUGCCAGCAGCCGCGGUAAUACGGAGGGUGCGAGCGUUAAUCGGAAUUACUGGGCGUAAAGCGCAUGCAGGUGGUUUGUUAAGUCAGAUGUGAAAGCCCGGGGGCUCAACCUCGGAAUAGCAUUUGAAACUGGCAGACUAGAGUACUGUAGAGGGGGUAGAAUUUCAGGUGUAGCGGUGAAAUGCGUAGAGAUCUGAAGGAAUACCGGUGGCGAAGGCGGCCCCCUGGACAGAUACUGACACUCAGAUGCGAAAGCGUGGGGAGCAAACAGGAUUAGAUACCCUGGUAGGACAGUG
RNAcentral lists this ribosomal RNA (474 nucleotides) under uncultured bacterium. Its description in RNAcentral is "bacterial SSU rRNA". It matches the Rfam family "Bacterial small subunit ribosomal RNA", at positions 335 to 799 of the family's 1533-position model. The record is from RNAcentral.